CCCUUAGAUGUUCUGGGCCGCACGCGCGCUACACUGACGAAGUCAGCGAGCAUGUCCUACGCCGACAGGUGCGGGGAAUCUUGUCAAACUUCGUCGUGAUGGGGAUUGAUUAUUGAAAUUCUUGAUCAUCAACGAGGAAUUCCUAGUAAGCGCGAGUCAUAAGCUCGCGUUGAUUACGUCCCUGCCCUUUGUACACACCGCCCGUCGCUACUACCGAUUGAAUGCUCAGGUGAGCCAUUCGGACCUUCAUCAUGCCGGUUUCCGGUUUUGAUGAGGGAAAGUCUUGCGAACCUUAUCAUUUAGAGGAAGGAGAAGUCGUAACU
This 323-nucleotide ribosomal RNA is filed under the name uncultured eukaryote. RNAcentral's name for it is "partial 18S ribosomal RNA". It matches the Rfam family "Eukaryotic small subunit ribosomal RNA", at positions 1470 to 1796 of the family's 1831-position model. The record is from RNAcentral.